This is an RNA transcript of Vigna radiata var. radiata (mung bean), 2505 nucleotides long. RefSeq lists it as uncharacterized. Lineage: Eukaryota; Viridiplantae; Streptophyta; Magnoliopsida; Fabales; Fabaceae. The record is from RefSeq and is a predicted model, not a curated record. The transcript is spliced from 3 exons.
UAUUCCUCUUUCUCCAUCUCACCGUCUUCAAAUUUAUGCUGGCUCAAGAAAGAAUGGCAAGAAUAUUGGUAUGGUUCGGCGGCGUAGCAUCCACAGUUCCAAUGAUAUACGCCUGUUUGAUUCUAUGGCAGUUGAAGGCUGACAUUUACAAGCUUAACCGUCUCUCAAAAACUAUCGACGAUCUUGAAAAUAAAAUGUCUCAGAUGAAAAAACUUUCUUCUACUUCCUCAUCCCCUUCCCCUUCUGAUAAGCCGCUUACAAUAUAUCAUGCUGCUCGUCUUGUUGGAAUUACAGCCUUCAAUCCUGAAAUUGAUGAAAAGCUGCAUACAGCCUAUAUUUAGGAAUGUGACUUGAAUUGUGUGAUUUUUCUCUAAAAUAUUAUGACCAUUAUAUACGUAUUUAGUAUAAUGAAUGUAUUUAAUGGCCAAGGGAUAUUUAUAUUCAGUUAAAAUUUUAGAAAAGAUACCGUAAGAAAAAAAAUGAUACAAUAGUGUUUGUUUACUCUCAUAGAAGCUCCUCAAAGUAAAAGAUGCAACCAUGGAGUUUAUUGCUCAUUUGUAGCUUUUACAUUUCUUUAUUUUAUUUCUAAAAACAAGGAAACAAAAAAGGUUCGCUUUGCUAUAAGAAAAUUUCUCAAAUUAGAAAAACUUGGGUUGGAUGAGGGCUUUACGUUGAGAAUUGCUGAAAUGAUUGCACUUUAACUUGAUAAACACCCUUAAAUGCAUGUUUUAGUUAGAAUCAUCUUACUUUUUUUGCCAUAUAGACUGUGUAGGUAACACUGAUGUUUUAUUGCUGACUUUGGGAUAAAUGCCCUAUGAUUAGCCACUAUAGAUUUUCCAAGCUGUCAUGUUUUCACUUACAUGGGAAAUAACCCAGUGUUGUUUGAUGAGUUAUGACCAUAUAUGCUACUUCUUCUUUAUUAGACAUAAUGCAUCUAGUUCUAUAUUUCUACUAAAGAUGUAAAAGUAAAAGUAAGGAUUCAUCCAUCAAUUAACCAAAAACUUAGGCUUUUAUAAUCCUUUUUUUCUUUUGUUUUUGUUUACAAGUGAAAUACAGUUUUCAGGUUUCUUUGUGCUGUUAAAAGUUUGUUUAAACUUCCUCACACUACUCAAGAUUAGUUAUAUGCAACUGUUUUGUACUCAUAGUUAUCAGUUUUAUCUUUUAUUGAUCAUGAAUAAAAUGUUAAAUUUUGAAAAACACAAAUGUUUUCUUUAAAAAGGCUUGGUUAUGUAUUUUCUUACUAUUGAUUUCUCGACGUAUAACUUUGGCUUCAUAAUUAUAUACGGAAGGACCUGAGAAAGAGUGGCUACAACUUGUUGUGUUUGGAGAAUUACGGGCACUCUUCCCUGGUUUUCAUGUUCAUAUAGAACUUGUUUGACCUGCAAUUCCUCCUCAAAGGUCUNAUCCAUUCUCAUAAGUCAUUGAAUUAUCAUCUGAUACUGAUCCUAUUUGGUUUAAAUAUCUGUCUAUGUUGCUUCCCAAUGAAUAGGGAUGGUAAGAAAAUUCAAAUUUCAAAGUAUGCUUGUUGCAAUGAAGAUGAGUGUGAGUGCAAAAUAACAAUUAAAAAUACAUAUCUUAGAACAAAGUCUGGUUCAGCAGUGACAUUGCUGCUUUGGCGAGGAUUCUAUCAUGACCGAUAUAGAGAUAUUGUUAAGUUUAGCCAAGUUGAUUUAUAUAAGUCUGCAAUACCUAUCAUUGGUAUCAGAGCCACUUUCCUGGUGUUGUGAUGGUUGUGCGGCAUGGUCAAUACGAGAAUGGAGGCAAGAUUGGAUGGUUUGGAGUGCCUAGUGCAAGAAUAGGAACAUGAAAAUCAGAGAAGGUUCCACAGGUUGGAGGAAAUGAUUACAGGGUUGUCAGGGUUGGUGGAACGUUUCGUAUCCUCUGAUAAACAAACAGCGGAUAGUGCUUCUAUUGCUAAGGAAGGCAGUAAUGAAGGAGGGACUGCACGUGGACGUUCAGUAAUGAUAUGUUUGCUAUAUAAGGAAGAUGAGUGUUGGCUAUGGCACAAAAGACUUGUACACAUUCACAUGCCUCACUUGAAUAAGCUUGCUUCUAGAGGUCUUGUACUAGGGUUGCCAAACAUAAAGUUUGAAUCUGAUAGACUUUGUGAUACUUGUCAAAAAGGGAAACAAACUAGAUCAUCUUUUAAAUUCAAACGUGUGAUAUCAACAGUAGACGUCUCAAAUUAUUACACAUGGACCUAUUUGGUCCUUUAAUAAUCAAAAGUCUAGGAGGAAAUCUUUAUGGUUUGGUUAUUGUUGAUGAUUAUUCUAGGUUCACUUGGAUUUUUUUUCUUGCAUCUAAGAGUGAUACCUUUAGAACUUUUAAGAAAUUUCCCUCCAUUAUUCAUAAUGAAAAAGAUCUUAGGAUAAAGGCUAUUAAAAGUGAUCAUGGAAGAGAGUUUCAUGAUCAUGGAAGAGAGUUUCAGAAUGAAAAGUUUGAGAACUUUUGUGAUGAAUAAGGAAUAUCACACAUCUUCUCCCACUAAUGCAAAAAUAUCUUUUA